Molecule: ribosomal RNA, 270 nt
Filed under: uncultured bacterium
Lineage: Bacteria
Description: partial 16S ribosomal RNA
Rfam family: Bacterial small subunit ribosomal RNA
Source: RNAcentral
AAUCAACGCUGGCGGCGUGCCUCAGACAUGCAAGUCGAACGAUUAAAGCUCUCUUCGGAGAGUGCAUAAAGUGGCGCACGGGUGAGUAACACGUAAGUAAUCUACCUUCGAGUGGGGAAUAACAGUCGGAAACGGCUGCUAAUACCGCAUAAUGCAGCGGCAUCGCAAGAUGACAGUUGUUAAAGAUUUAUCGCUUGAAGAGGAGCUUGCGGCAGAUUAGCUAGUUGGUAAGGUAAUGGCUUACCAAGGCUACGAUCUGUAACCGGUCUA